Molecule: ribosomal RNA, 253 nt
Filed under: uncultured bacterium
Lineage: Bacteria
Description: partial 16S ribosomal RNA
Rfam family: Bacterial small subunit ribosomal RNA
Source: RNAcentral
UACGUAGGGUGCAAGCGUUGUCCGGAAUUAUUGGGCGUAAAGAGCUCGUAGGCGGCUUGUCACGUCGGCUGUGAAAACCCGGGGCUCAACCCCGGGCCUGCAGUCGAUACGGGCAAGCUAGAGUUCGGCAGGGGAGACUGGAAUUCCUGGUGUAGCGGUGAAAUGCGCAGAUAUCAGGAGGAACACCGGUGGCGAAGGCGGGUCUCUGGGCCGAUACUGACGCUGAUGCGCGAAAGCCAGGGGAGCGAACGGG